This 1202-nucleotide ribosomal RNA is filed under the name metagenome. RNAcentral describes it as "bacterial SSU rRNA". It matches the Rfam family "Bacterial small subunit ribosomal RNA", at positions 312 to 1498 of the family's 1533-position model. The record is from RNAcentral.
ACUGGGACUGAGAUACGGCCCAGACUCCUACGGGAGGCAGCAGUGGGGAAUAUUGCACAAUGGACGAAAGUCUGAUGCAGCGACGCCGCGUGGGGGAUGAAGGUUUUCGGAUUGUAAACCCCUGUUAAGUGGGAAGAAAUGCCUACAAGUAAUAUGUGUAGGAGAUGACGGUACCACUAGAGAAAGCUCCGGCUAACUUCGUGCCAGCAGCCGCGGUAAUACGAAGGGAGCAAGCGUUAUUCGGAAUUGCUGGGCGUAAAGAGCGUGCAGGCGGUUGACUAAGUUGGUUGUUAAAUACCCUGGCUUAACUAGGGCUCAGCAAUUGAUACUGGUCGGCUAGAGGGCAAGAGAGAGAAGUGGAAUUCUUGGAGUAGCGGUAAAAUGCAUAGAUCUCAAGAGGAACACCAGUUGCGAAGGCGGCUUCUUGGCUUGUCCCUGACGCUGAGGCGCGAAAGCGUGGGGAGCAAACAGGAUUAGAUACCCUGGUAGUCCAUGCCGUAAACGAUGAUCACUAGAUGUGGGUUCUGUUUAACAGGAUCCGUGUCGAAGCCAACGCGUUAAGUGAUCCGCCUGGGGAGUACGGUCGCAAGAUUAAAACUCAAAGGAAUUGGCGGGGGACCGCACAAGCGUGGAACAUGUGGUUUAAUUCGACACUACGCGAGAAACCUUACCUAGGCUUGACAUGUACUUGCCCGCUGUAGAAAUACAGUUUUUUAAGUUUACUUAAACAGGUACACAGGUGCUGCAUGGCUGUCGUCAGCUCGUGUCGUGAGAUGUUGGGUUAAGUCCUUUAACGAGCGCAACCCUUGCCGUCAGUUGCUACUUCAUUUAUGGAGGCACUCUGGCGGGACUGCCUGGGAAACCAGGAGGAAGGUGGGGAUGACGUCAAGUCCUCAUGGCCCUUAUGUCUAGGGCAACACACGUGUUACAAUGGCUAGUACAAAGGGAAACAAACCCGCGAGGGGGAGUAAAUCUCAUAAAGCUAGUCUAAGUUGGGAUUGAAGUCUGCAAUUCGACUUCAUGAAGCUGAAAUCGCUAGUAAUCGCGUAUCAGAACGACGCGGUGAAUACGUUCUCGGACCUUGUACACACCGCCCGUCACACCACGAAAAUCGUCUACACCCGAAUUUGUCUUAGCUAACCCGUAAGGGAGGCGGAUAAUUAAGGUGUGGAGGGUAAUUGGGGUGAAGUCGGAACAAGGUA